Molecule: small RNA, 51 nt
Filed under: Staphylococcus aureus
Lineage: Bacteria; Bacillati; Bacillota; Bacilli; Caryophanales; Staphylococcaceae
Description: 3'UTR
Source: RNAcentral
AAGUGGUAAGUGCAGUUAAGAAAUUAUCGCUUGAAGAUAAUAGUGAAAGUA